GCCAGUGUGGUGCAGUGGUUUGAGCGUAAGACUGCAACCCUGAAGACUAGGGUUUGAUUCCCUGAUCAGCCA
Phrynosoma platyrhinos (Desert horned lizard) is the source of this 72-nucleotide non-coding RNA. Lineage: Eukaryota; Metazoa; Chordata; Lepidosauria; Squamata; Phrynosomatidae. The record is from the annotation of a GenBank genome assembly.